GACGAACGCUGGCGGCGUGCUUAAUACAUGCAAGUCGAGCGAGGUCCAUCUGGUGGCAACACCAGUGAAGGCCGAGCGGCGAACGGGUGAGUAACACGUGAGCAACCUGCCCCGAAGUCUGGAAUAACAUCGGGAAACCGGUGCUAAUACCGGAUCGCCCCACCUGACCGCAUGAUCGGGUGAGGAAAGAUUUAUCGCUUCGGGAGGGGCUCGCGGCCUAUCAGCAGUUGGUGGGGUAACGGCCUACCAAGGCAUCGACGGGUAGCUGGUCUGAGAGGACGACCAGCCACACUGGGACUGAGACACGGCCCAGACUCCUACGGGAGGCAGCAGUAGGGAAUCUUGCGCAAUGGGCGAAAGCCUGACGCAGCAACGCCGCGUGGGGGAUGA
Molecule: ribosomal RNA, 390 nt
Filed under: uncultured bacterium
Lineage: Bacteria
Description: bacterial SSU rRNA
Rfam family: Bacterial small subunit ribosomal RNA
Source: RNAcentral